AUCAUGGCCCUUACGGGUAGGGCUACACACGUGCUACAAUGGCCGGUACAAAGGGUUGCGAAAGCGCGAGCUGAAGCUAAUCCCGAAAAGCCGGUCUCAGUCCGGAUCGGAGUCUGCAACUCGACUCCGCGAAGUCGGAAUCGCUAGUAAUCGUGCAUCAGAAUGGCACGGUGAAUACGUUCCCGGGCCUUGUACACACCGCCCGUCACACCAUGGAAGUGGACUGCACCAGAAGUGGUUAGCUUAACCUUCGGGAGAGCGAUCACCACGGUGUGGUUCAUGACUGGGGUGAAGUCGUAACAAGGUAGCCGUAGGGGAACCUGCGGCUGGAUCACCUCCUUAAAC
Molecule: ribosomal RNA, 345 nt
Filed under: Chromohalobacter israelensis
Lineage: Bacteria; Pseudomonadati; Pseudomonadota; Gammaproteobacteria; Oceanospirillales; Halomonadaceae
Description: bacterial SSU rRNA
Rfam family: Bacterial small subunit ribosomal RNA
Source: RNAcentral